AAAUUGAAGAGUUUGAUCAUGGCUCAGAUUGAACGCUGGCGGCAGGCCUAACACAUGCAAGUCGAACGGUAACAGGAAGCAGCUUGCUGCUUCGCUGACGAGUGGCGGACGGGUGAGUAAUGUCUGGGAAACUGCCUGAUGGAGGGGGAUAACUACUGGAAACGGUGGCUAAUACCGCAUAACGUCGCAAGACCAAAGAGGGGGACCUUCGGGCCUCUUGCCAUCAGAUGUGCCCAGAUGGGAUUAGCUAGUUGGUGAGGUAACGGCUCACCAAGGCGACGAUCCCUAGCUGGUCUGAGAGGAUGACCAGCCACACUGGAACUGAGACACGGUCCAGACUCCUACGGGAGGCAGCAGUGGGGAAUAUUGCACAAUGGGCGCAAGCCUGAUGCAGCCAUGCCGCGUGUAUGAAGAAGGCCUUCGGGUUGUAAAGUACUUUCAGCGGGGAGGAAGGUGUUGUGGUUAAUAACCGCAGCAAUUGACGUUACCCGCAGAAGAAGCACCGGCUAACUCCGUGCCAGCAGCCGCGGUAAUACGGAGGGUGCAAGCGUUAAUCGGAAUUACUGGGCGUAAAGCGCACGCAGGCGGUCUGUCAAGUCGGAUGUGAAAUCCCCGGGCUCAACCUGGGAACUGCAUUCGAAACUGGCAGGCUUGAGUCUUGUGGAGGGGGGUAGAAUUCCAGGUGUAGCGGUGAAAUGCGUAGAGAUCUGGAGGAAUACCGGUGGCGAAGGCGGCCCCCUGGACAAAGACUGACGCUCAGGUGCGAAAGCGUGGGGAGCAAACAGGAUUAGAUACCCUGGUAGUCCACGCCGUAAACGAUGUCUACUUGGAGGUUGUGCCCUUGAGGCGUGGCUUCCGGAGCUAACGCGUUAAGUAGACCGCCUGGGGAGUACGGCCGCAAGGUUAAAACUCAAAUGAAUUGACGGGGGCCCGCACAAGCGGUGGAGCAUGUGGUUUAAUUCGAUGCAACGCGAAGAACCUUACCUGGUCUUGACAUCCACAGAACUUUCCAGAGAUGGAUUGGUGCCUUCGGGAACUGUGAGACAGGUGCUGCAUGGCUGUCGUCAGCUCGUGUUGUGAAAUGUUGGGUUAAGUCCCGCAACGAGCGCAACCCUUAUCCUUUGUUGCCAGCGGUUAGGCCGGGAACUCAAAGGAGACUGCCAGUGAUAAACUGGAGGAAGGUGGGGAUGACGUCAAGUCAUCAUGGCCCUUACGACCAGGGCUACACACGUGCUACAAUGGCGCAUACAAAGAGAAGCGACCUCGCGAGAGCAAGCGGACCUCAUAAAGUGCGUCGUAGUCCGGAUUGGAGUCUGCAACUCGACUCCAUGAAGUCGGAAUCGCUAGUAAUCGUGGAUCAGAAUGCCACGGUGAAUACGUUCCCGGGCCUUGUACACACCGCCCGUCACACCAUGGGAGUGGGUUGCAAAAGAAGUAGGUAGCUUAACCUUCGGGAGGGCGCUUACCACUUUGUGAUUCAUGACUGGGGUGAAGUCGUAACAAGGUAACCGUAGGGGAACCUGCGGUUGGAUCACCUCCUUA
Molecule: ribosomal RNA, 1542 nt
Filed under: Salmonella enterica subsp. enterica serovar Abortusequi
Lineage: Bacteria; Pseudomonadati; Pseudomonadota; Gammaproteobacteria; Enterobacterales; Enterobacteriaceae
Description: bacterial SSU rRNA
Rfam family: Bacterial small subunit ribosomal RNA
Source: RNAcentral